RNAcentral lists this ribosomal RNA (564 nucleotides) under uncultured bacterium. Its description in RNAcentral is "partial 16S ribosomal RNA". It matches the Rfam family "Bacterial small subunit ribosomal RNA", at positions 355 to 1376 of the family's 1533-position model. The record is from RNAcentral.
UGGGGAAUAUUGGACAAUGGGCGCAAGCCUGAUCCAGCCAUGCCGCGUGAGUGAUGAAGGCCCUAGGGUUGUAAAGCUCUUUCACCGGUGAAGAUAAUGACGGUAACCGGAGAAGAAGCCCCGGCUAACUUCGUGCCAGCAGCCGCGGUAAUACGAAGGGGGCUAGCGUUGUUCGGAAUUACUGGGCGUAAAGCGCACGUAGGCGGACAUUUAAGUCAGGGGUGAAAUCCCGGGGGCUCAACCCCGGAACUGCCUUUGAUACUGGGUGUCUAGAGUUCGAGAGAGGUGAGUGGAAUUCCGAGUGUAGAGGUGAAAUUCGUAGAUAUUCGGAGGAACACCAGUGGCGAAGGCGGCUCACUGGCUCGAUACUGACGCUGAGGUGCGAAAGCGUGGGGAGCAAAACAGGAUUAGAUACCCUGGUAGUCCACGCCGUAAACGAUGGAAGCCAGCUGUCGGCAAGUUUUACUUGUCGGUGGCGCAGCUAACGCAUUAAGCUUCCCGCCUGGGGAGUACGGUCGCAAGAUUAAAACUCAAAUGAAUUGACGGGGUCAUAGCUGUUUCCUG